AGAGUUUGAUCAUGGCUCAGGAUGAACGCUAGCGACAGGCCUAACACAUGCAAGUCGAGGGGCAUCGGGGCGAGGAGCAAUCCUUGCCGCCGGCGACCGGCGCACGGGUGAGUAACGCGUAUGCGACCUGCCCGUUGCAGGGGGAUAAUCGGGAGAAAUCCCGUCUAAUACCGCGUAAUGCCGCGGGGCUGCAUGGCCCUGCGGCCAAAGGAAGCGAUUCCGGCAACGGAUGGGCAUGCGUGACAUUAGCUAGUUGGCGGGGCAACGGCCCACCAAGGCGACGAUGUCUAGGGGUUCUGAGAGGAAGGUCCCCCACACUGGAACUGAGACACGGUCCAGACUCCUACGGGAGGCAGCAGUGAGGAAUAUUGGUCAAUGGGCGCAAGCCUGAACCAGCCAAGUAGCGUGAAGGAUGACUGCCCUAUGGGUUGUAAACUUCUUUUAUACGGGAACAAAUGUGGGUACGUGUACCUAUUUGCGUGUACCGUAUGAAUAAGCAUCGGCUAACUCCGUGCCAGCAGCCGCGGUAAUACGGAGGAUGCGAGCGUUAUCCGGAUUUAUUGGGUUUAAAGGGAGCGUAGACGGGAUGUUAAGUCAGUUGUGAAAGGCUGCGGCUCAACCGCAGCACUGCAGUUGAUACUGGCGUCCUUGAGUGCGGUUGAGGUAUGUGGAAUUCGUGGUGUAGCGGUGAAAUGCUUAGAUAUCACGAAGAACCCCGAUUGCGAAGGCAGCAUACUAAGCCGCUACUGACGUUGAGGCUCGAAAGUGUGGGUAUCAAACAGGAUUAGAUACCCUGGUAGUCCACACGGUAAACGAUGAAUACUCGCUGUUGGCGAUAUACAGUCAGCGGCCAAGCGAAAGCAUUAAGUAUUCCACCUGGGGAGUACGCCGGCAACGGUGAAACUCAAAGGAAUUGACGGGGGCCCGCACAAGCGGAGGAACAUGUGGUUUAAUUCGAUGAUACGCGAGGAACCUUACCUGGGUUUAAAUGGGAAAUGCCGUAUUUGGAAACAGAUAUUCUCUUCGGAGCGUUUUUCAAGGUGCUGCAUGGUUGUCGUCAGCUCGUGCCGUGAGGUGUCGGGUUAAGUCCCAUAACGAGCGCAACCCUUACCGUUAGUUGCUAGCAUGUAAUGAUGAGCACUCUAACGGGACUGCCACCGUAAGGUGAGAGGAAGGCGGGGAUGACGUCAAAUCAGCACGGCCCUUACACCCAGGGCUACACACGUGUUACAAUGGCCGGUACAGAGGGCCGCUACCAGGUGACUGGAUGCCAAUCUCAAAAGCCGGUCGUAGUUCGGAUUGGAGUCUGUAACCCGACUCCAUGAAGUUGGAUUCGCUAGUAAUCGCGCAUCAGCCAUGGCGCGGUGAAUACGUUCCCGGGCCUUGUACACACCGCCCGU
This 1400-nucleotide ribosomal RNA is filed under the name uncultured bacterium. Its description in RNAcentral is "bacterial SSU rRNA". It matches the Rfam family "Bacterial small subunit ribosomal RNA". The record is from RNAcentral.